Molecule: long non-coding RNA, 528 nt
Organism: Ochotona curzoniae (black-lipped pika)
Lineage: Eukaryota; Metazoa; Chordata; Mammalia; Lagomorpha; Ochotonidae
Exons: 3
Source: RefSeq, a predicted model, not a curated record
UGGAAUCAGAAAAUGAAAAUGUAAGCAGCUGCAAAAAUUACCUGCUUCAUAAAAUUUAUAUGAGAUGAAGAUGAAAAUCAUUAGAAGUCAAUCAACUCCUCAGCAGGUCCUGAAAAUGUCUCAGUGACACACACCUGCAGCUACCUUGUAUGGAUAUAGCACUAUGUCAGUGUGUACUGGGAAGGCCCAUCCCAGAUAAGACAGAACCUGAUGAAAUCACAUGCCAGUAGCUCCCAGUGCCUUCAGGACAAAAGGAAUCCUGUACUACAUACAGCUGGAUCAUGGAACCAUAGACUUCCCACCUCUUCUACGAGGAUCUACAAAUCACAUGACUUUGAGGGCUCAGAUACAACUGCUCACACUGGCGGGAACUGAUACUUGGAGCUCAGGUGAUUUCCCGCACACUAAGUUCUUCUCUGGGCCUGGCUCUGAGAAUCACACUCCUUCCAGAACACCGGGCUGCCAACACAGUCUGCCAGGAAUCCAUCAGGGAAUGCUUAUGAGGCCAUGAUCCCAGAACUGGCAGAA